This 2694-nucleotide ribosomal RNA is filed under the name Triticum aestivum (bread wheat). RNAcentral's name for it is "partial small subunit ribosomal RNA". Lineage: Eukaryota; Viridiplantae; Streptophyta; Magnoliopsida; Poales; Poaceae. The record is from RNAcentral.
GAAAAGCCACCAAACCAAACCAAAGCGGCCGACAGUAAAGGUCCAAAUACGGUACGCCGGACGGACAAAUAAUCAAAUCGACCCGUUCAUUCAAUUUUUUUUCAAAUCGACCCGUUCACAGGACUGGACUGGACCGGACAGAUAUUUAUGCCCGCGCAGUUUCGUCCUCGGAGGUUUAGGUUUCCACCGACACCGACACCGAGUGUGUGUGUGUGUCUCUCUCUGUUCUCUGUCGCUCAGUGUCUGGCUCCCUCCCCCUCGAGUCUGGUCCGGUCGCCCUUAGCGCGCGCGCCCGGCCCGCUGCUGACUCCGCCUCUAGGGAAGGCUGGCCGGCGGCGGCGGCGAGCAGCUGUGGCUGGUUGUCUCCUUCGUCAAGGAGACUCAACGACGUCGCGCAUCAGACUCUCUGUUCGUUCAUGUCGUCGGUACCCCCUCCAGCGCCGCCUCGACAUGUGGGUCCUACCGUGGUAGCUGUAGUUCCCGUUGGGCCGGGAGUUCUCGUUGUGGCCGUUGACCGCUCGUACGGGGAUGUAGGAGCGCUUGCUCACGACGCUCGCGGAACGGAUGAUGCCGUACUCGUGGUUGGACCAGUUGAAGUACUUCCUGGCCUACCCGUACCGGUUGCGCCGCCGGCGGUUGUUGCAGUGGUUGACCCCGCCGUGGACGAUGUAGUGGGGCGAGUAGCCGCGGAAGGAGCGGCUGCGGAUGGAGCCGGCGAAGACCUGGUAGCGGAGGAAGUACUAGUAGAUGUAGAAGCCGGAGCCGGACGAGUGGUACCGGUGGAGGCACGUGCCGGAGCACGGGCGGACGCGGAGGUUCCCGCACACGCUGGGGUGCGGCCCGGUCAGCCGCCGGCAGAAGUAGCGCGAGAUGGAGUAGCGCGAGCCGUGGCCGCCCUAGUUCGGGACGCAGAGGAGGAAGCCCCGGCUGGUCAAGCUGCUCGUGCUGCUGCACCUCGCGUUCUCGUUCUCGAGGAAGAAGUUGACCAAGAUGAAGAGGUAGUUGUAGCCGCGCGACCACCGGAGCAGGCACGACCACAUGCACGUCUGCGUACACCCCACCUCGACCCCGAAGCCGUAGGGGCGGCAGCAGUACCGGUAGCGGCAGCCGUCGAAGAAGCAGCCGUGCGGCGACAUGGCGGUGGUCGCGGGGCCGCCGUCGGGCGAGUGGGCGUAGCGCGUCCACGAGCACCGGCGGUGCGCGUUCGAGCCGCAGGGGCAGCUGCCCAGCCGCGACAUGCUCUGGCGCCUGUCCCUCAGGCCGUAGCUCCCCUCGGCGUUCGACCUCGUGUGCCCCGUCAAGUCCAAGGAGCUGUUCCGCCGCCACCUCUGCGUCCGCCUGUUCUGCCGCCGGUGGCCCGGCAGCGGCACCGCCGACACGUGCCACUGCGUCCACCUCCUCGAGUUCUCGCACCACGCCGACGACGGGUAGACCCGCUCGCCGUAGCAGAAGCGGUGCCACAUGCCGGUCUACUCGUGGUACAAGCACGAUGUCCCGUUGUGGGACCUGCGGAGGUACCCAGGGUUCAAGUUCUAGGGGAGGCGGAGGGAGAGGUAGAAGCUGUGGGAGUCGCAGUAGCGGACCCACGGGCAGAUGCUGGCGUAGGAGCAGGGCCGUCACGCGAGGCAGUGGCCGGCCGGGGCGCCGAAGUGGGUCGAGGUCGCGUACCCGUAGCCGGAGCACCAGAGGUACAAGCGGUACGAGUGGCGGCCGCACGAGCUCGAGCAGGCGGAGGCGUGGUAGCGCGUCGCGCCGGAGAUGCCCCUCUUCCUGCACCACGGGUAGAGGUAGAAGACCGUCCACGGCGUCAUGAAGUAGUAGCCGCGGCGGCUCCACAAGUGGAAGCACCCGGUCGAGCUCAAGAAGAUGCUGGUCCGCGGGCUGCGGUACUCCUCGUACACGAGGCGCGAGAGCGAGUGGUGGCAGCGCGAGCCCUUGAUGGAGUCGUGCGACGAGCAGUGGCAGCACCGGUUCGAGUGGUGGUCCCCUCCGUUCGUCCCCACCUAGGGGCUGUUGGAGUUGCAGCCGGUGGAGCUGAUGAAGAAGACCGACGAGCGGCGCGAGUCGGAGGAGUUGAAGCGGCAGAUGGAGGAGUAGCGGUCGACCAUGUGGAUGUUCUUCUGGCGGCCUCUACUGGGCCUGCGGUUUCGGUUUCCUCCUCGACUACUACGUGUACUGGUCACUCACUGAGACCGACGUUGUCAAGCACAGACUUACGCACGCACAAAAGAAAAAGUUCUCUGUACUGUCUUAUCUAACAACUUUCUUCUUCUUCUUCUUUCGUUCCUAGCUCUGAAGUCUCAAGUCUAUCCACUUUAAUUCCCUCCUGUUACUUUACGCACCACACUAAACACUGAAGUUCUAAGUUCUCACAACGGAACAACUAAUUAUAUGAUCACAGAACCUUUUUAACCGUCUUUUUUCAAGUCUACAAUACAUGAAAUAAUCUAACCACACGUUACGCUGGGUUUCGAAGAUGUCACUGUCACUCGUCUUUUUCAUGUUCUCAAAUUAUCCUAAAUGUUGUCGAAGUAUUUGCGGUAGAUUUCAAAACAUUUGAACAACAUACCUGCAGUGGGUUUAUACGGUAAAAGUAGAGACAAUUGGGGUCUUGGAGUGUUGUAAAAGUAGGCACAAUUUGGGUAGAUUCAAAACAUAUUGAACAACGUACCCUACGUUACUUGAUUCUCGUAG